GAUGAACGCCGGCGGCGUGCUUAACACAUGCAAGUCGAACGGUGAAGGCGGAGCUUGCUCUGCUGGAUCAGUGGCGAACGGGUGAGUAACACGUGAGCAAUCUGCCCCUGACUCUGGGAUAAGCGCUGGAAACGGCGUCUAAUACUGGAUACGAGCUGCGAAGGCAUCUUCAGCAGCUGGAAAGAAUUUCGGUCAGGGAUGAGCUCGCGGCCUAUCAGCUUGUUGGUGAGGUAAUGGCUCACCAAGGCGUCGACGGGUAGCCGGCCUGAGAGGGUGACCGGCCACACUGGGACUGAGACACGGCCCAGACUCCUACGGGAGGCAGCAGUGGGGAAUAUUGCACAAUGGGCGAAAGCCUGAUGCAGCAACGCCGCGUGAGGGACGACGGCCCUCGGGUUGUAAACCUCUUUUAGCAGGGAAGAAGCGAAAGUGACGGUACCUGCAGAAAAAGCGCCGGCUAACUACGUG
Molecule: ribosomal RNA, 468 nt
Filed under: uncultured bacterium
Lineage: Bacteria
Description: partial 16S ribosomal RNA
Rfam family: Bacterial small subunit ribosomal RNA
Source: RNAcentral